GACGAAGGGGGCUAGCGUUGUUCGGAAUUACUGGGCGUAAAGCGUGUGUAGGUGGUUGCCAGAGUCAGGUGUGAAAGCCUUGAGCUCAACUCAAGAAAUGCACUUGAUACUGGGCAGCUAGAGGACCGGAGAGGAUAGUGGAAUUCCCAGUGUAGUGGUGAAAUACGUAGAGAUUGGGAAGAACACCAGUGGCGAAGGCGGCUAUCUGGACGGUUUCUGACACUAAGACACGAAAGCGUGGGGAGCAAACAGG
This 253-nucleotide ribosomal RNA is filed under the name uncultured bacterium. RNAcentral's name for it is "partial 16S ribosomal RNA". It matches the Rfam family "Bacterial small subunit ribosomal RNA", at positions 524 to 776 of the family's 1533-position model. The record is from RNAcentral.